CUUCCAGUAGCACCUUAGAGACCAACUAAGUUUGUUAUUGGUAUGAGCUUUGGUAUGAUAAUAUCUGAAGAAGUGUGCAUGCACACGAAAGCUCAUACCAAUAAAAAACUUAGUUGGUCUCUAAGGUGCUACUGGAAG
This is a non-coding RNA of Podarcis lilfordi (Lilford's wall lizard), 138 nucleotides long. The record is from the annotation of a GenBank genome assembly. NCBI's taxonomy places the organism in Eukaryota, Metazoa, Chordata, Lepidosauria, Squamata, Lacertidae.